AAGGAUCUGAUGGAUAUCCGAUAGUGAUAUGGAUUUUCGGAUAUAGGGUGGUUGGAUCUGUAAUUGUUUUAUUUUAGUGAGGAUAAGUUUGUAUUUUAACCAAUUUUCGAUUUUUUUAAUUAAAUUUUUUUUUUUCCUUUUGGUCAAACCCUUAAGAGAAUAGAAGAAGGAGUCAAAGGGUACAAGAGAUUUUAGUCCCAUUUGGAGGCUGUAAAAAGAAUCAUCAAGUAUGUCAAAGGGACAGUUGAUCUUGGUAUCUGGUACUCUAAAGGAUCUAAAUAAUCUAGUUGGGUAUUGUGAUGCAGACUAUGCAGGAAGUGUUGUUGAUCGAAAGAGC
RNAcentral lists this long non-coding RNA (337 nucleotides) under Capsella rubella. RNAcentral describes it as "long non-coding RNA (CRUB_LNC001619)". The record is from RNAcentral. Lineage: Eukaryota; Viridiplantae; Streptophyta; Magnoliopsida; Brassicales; Brassicaceae.